This 253-nucleotide ribosomal RNA is filed under the name uncultured bacterium. RNAcentral's name for it is "partial 16S ribosomal RNA". It matches the Rfam family "Bacterial small subunit ribosomal RNA", at positions 524 to 776 of the family's 1533-position model. The record is from RNAcentral.
UACGUAGGGUCCGAGCGUUGUCCGGAAUUACUGGGCGUAAAGAGCUCGUAGGUGGUUUGUCGCGUUGUUCGUGAAAACUCACAGCUCAACUGUGGGCGUGCGGGCGAUACGGGCAGACUGGAGUACUGCAGGGGAGACUGGAAUUCCUGGUGUAGCGGUGGAAUGCGCAGAUAUCAGGAGGAACACCAGUGGCGAAGGCGGGUCUCUGGGCAGUAACUGACGCUGAGGAGCGAAAGCGUGGGGAGCGAACAGG